Molecule: ribosomal RNA, 288 nt
Filed under: uncultured bacterium
Lineage: Bacteria
Description: partial 16S ribosomal RNA
Rfam family: Bacterial small subunit ribosomal RNA
Source: RNAcentral
AACGAACGCUGGCGGCAGGCCUAACACAUGCAAGUCGAGGGAGAAGCACCUUUCGGGGUGUGGAGACCGGCGCACGGGUGCGUAACGCGUGGGAACCUGCCCUGAAGUAGGGAAUAACCGUUGGAAACGACGGCUAAUACCCUAUGUGCCUUACGAGGUAAAGAUUUAUCGCUUUGGGAUGGGCCCGCGUUGGAUUAGCUAGUUGGUAGGGUAACGGCCUACCAAGGCGACGAUCCAUAGCUGGUUUGAGAGGAUGAUCAGCCACACUGGGACUGAGACACGGCCCAG